CUUAAUGAAUUGACGGGGCCGCACAAGCGGUGGAGCAUGUGUUUAAUUCGAAGCAACGCGAAGAACCUUACCAGGUCUUGACAUCCCUGACAACCCGAGAGAUCGGGCGUUCCCCUUCGGGGGACAGGGUGACAGGUGGUGCAUGGUUGUCGUCAGCUCGUGUCGUGAGAUGUUGGGUUAAGUCCCGCAACGAGCGCAACCCUCGACCUUAGUUGCCAGCAUUCAGUUGGGCACUCUAAGGUGACUGCCGGCUAAAAGUCGGAGGAAGGUGGGGAUGACGUCAAAUCAUCAUGCCCCUUAUGACCUGGGCUACACACGUGCUACAAUGGGCGGUACAAAGGGUCGCGAACCCGCGAGGUGGCGCCAAUCCAUAAAGUUGGUCUCAGUUCAGAUUGUAGGCUGCAACCCGCCUGCAUGAAGAUGGAGUUGCUAGUAACCGCAGGUCAGCUAUACUGCGGUGAAUACGUUCCCGGGGCUU
Molecule: ribosomal RNA, 478 nt
Filed under: uncultured Anoxybacillus sp.
Lineage: Bacteria; Bacillati; Bacillota; Bacilli; Caryophanales; Anoxybacillaceae
Description: bacterial SSU rRNA
Rfam family: Bacterial small subunit ribosomal RNA
Source: RNAcentral